RNAcentral lists this long non-coding RNA (7113 nucleotides) under Salmo salar (Atlantic salmon). RNAcentral's name for it is "lncRNA (ENSSSAG00000105897.1)". Lineage: Eukaryota; Metazoa; Chordata; Actinopteri; Salmoniformes; Salmonidae. The record is from RNAcentral.
GGGGGGUGUAAGGGUUUUAGAGAACUGUGCAUUUUGCAGUCACAAGAUGAGACAUCCGCCAGAGACAACAGCUACGCCAGGAAACAGGAGUGCGUCUAGAGGUUGGGACCAACCUGCACGCCAACGAUAGGCUGGAAUAAGUCUAAACCAUAUUCUAGCCUCUACUAUGACAGGCUCUCAUGGAGAGGGAACUAAGUCUGUCCAGUAUUUAAGGAAGAACUUGUGAUGUCAUACCAGUGUUCUCUGUCUGCCCUGCGGGGUUUACAGGGAGUCCGUAUAUACGAGCCACAUAUUUACCAUUCAAGUGUUUGCAUUAAUUAAAGUACACAGAAAUCAGAAGUUACUAUGUGCUGACUAUUUUGUUCUGAUACCAGAUUCGAAUUGACGCGACUUAACAUGGUGGCCCCGGACGUGAUCUGGUACCGGGACUUCGCUGAGUAUUGAUCAGCCAAUUGGACAUCGCUGUCGUGGGAGGGGUGUUUCACAAAACGUCAUGACAACUAAAAACAGGUAAGCAGACACCUAUUGUUAUAAUAACUAAAGAUCUGCAUAUUGGCUUUAUCCAAAUAAAUUUUGUGAAGCACCUGUUCGAUGUAAGUGAACCAAAUUAUGAAUUAUUAUGAGUAGAUAAGAAAUAUUAUAGAGUCAUUAUUGUGACAUGCAAACCCAUGGUGAAUGUGUUGUUAUUACCUUGGUAACUUGGAGUAUUGUUCUACCGGCGAGAUUCGUAACUAAGGGUACGGUUAGGAUCGGAGAAAAUACUGAAAUCUCCCGGCUAGGAUCGUAACUUGGAGGGUGCGACCCUGGGAUAUAGGGUAUAAUUGAAAUAGCAAUUGCUGCCAGCUAGGUUCGUGACUACGAGGGUACGACUUGGAUCGGCGGAGUAAUUCUUAGGAAAGGAGGUGAGGUUGUAGGCGAGAUAAAAGGGGACUAAUAAAUUAGGAACUUAAAGGCAAGGGAAAGAUAGUAUAAUAGAAGUUUGAAGAUAAGAUUAUAUGCUUAAUUUAGGUGUAAAAUAAAAUGAGAUAUUUAGCUGGUUGAAUUUAGUAAACUAGAAGGUUAAAGAUAAAAUAGUAAUAGGACAAUAAAAAGGCUGGCGAUAAAAUAAUAUGCUUAAUUUAGGUGUAGAAUAAAAGGUGAUAUUUAACUGUUUGAAUUUAUUAACGAAAAAGCAUCAAAAGGACUGGAGGAAUAUGUUAAAUAGGACAAUAAUUGUGGCUAUUGACAAGGCACGUACUGCGGGCGUGGCUAGAGUUGUAAAAUAUGUUUUAAAUGAUGGGUUAAAGUUGGGACUAAUGGUAAGAAAGAUGCAUAAGGUAUGUGGAGACAAGACAUGGAAAAAGUAAGUCGAGGGUUAGACGUAGCCAGGGUAUGGCUGUCUAAAGCCCGGAUAAGAAGGCAAAAAGGCAAGUGUAAAGAAAGAGAGAGAGAAAGUUUGAAGAAGGAGAUCAGCAGGGGGAGAAAAAAAAAUUAUGUGCGUGUGAGAUAGGUUUACUGACCAGUUAAAGGUAACUUGUAUGUGUGUGAGACCUAAUAACUUAUCAAAAGUCACAACAGUAAUUAUUCCUAAAGUCUGAGAAGGAGAAAAAGAAAGACAGAGAUAACGAGGAAGGAGCCGAGGGUGGAACGAAAAAGGAAGUUACUAAGAAAGUUGAAAAGUAAGUUUGGCGAUUUAUAUGUUACAUUUAGGGUCAUAGACAUUUCAUAAGUGUGAAGCCGAAAGAGAGAUACAGUUGGAACAUUGGUUUUAAUCUUGCGAUAGAGGAAAGGCAGAACGCUGUUUGAAAAGAGGUAAUAUUUUUUUCCUAUGAGUAUGUGGCUGGAAGCAAUUCUGGUCUGAAUAAUGGAAUCGUAAAGGUUUUGUGAUAAAUUCUGGUUAUUGAUUCGUGGUAUUGAUUGUUUAGUAACACCAGUGAAUUGAACAUUGCAUGGAAAAAUAUCAAGUCAUUAAAGUGAAUUACAGGUGGAGUUAAUUUUAUUUUUACAGGGACAGUGCACAUUAAACACAGUUGUGUAUAAUGGCAGGGUAUUCCUAGUAAACAGAAUGGGCCGGUUUGCAGACAAACUGAAGGGGUUUUAAGGUUUUAAGCAAUCUUGGGUUAAAUUAGUCAAGUAGUAUGUUAAAAUAGGGGAGUUUAAUAGGUUUGAAGUACAGUAUUGUAUCCAAGGGUAGCGCAUGUUCAAUUAAGUUUAAAACUAAUGAUUGGGGGGAGUACAAUGGAAUUAUAAGUAUUAUUAGGUUUUGUUUAUAGUCAACUUUUGGGUUUUUGAAUCAGUGUGGUAGAAUGAAACGCUGACCAAGUGGUUAUUUUAUUGAAAAAGGAGCGCUUGGCUGUCUUUGGGAGAAAUUCCUAGGGACAGGAUAUCUUAAAGGGAUACACACAUGGCAUUUUGGAAGUUUUGUUUUCUGAGUUUUAAUUAAACAUGUGAAAUUAUUUUGAUAGGGAAUGUUCUGGGAAAUGGGGAUACAAAAUGUAGAUAAAGUUAUUAGCUUUCAUUUGUCUAAUGUAGUAAGAAAUAUGGUUCUGAAAGGGUGGUAUGACUUUUGACCUCUCUGGUGACUUUUCCUUUUGUGGUCUGAUCAGCCGCAAUGAAAAGCCAUUUGGAUGGUGAAUUUAAGGUCAUUUGUGAUACUGGCUUUAAGGACAUUUGUAGAAUUGAUAAUUAUAAUGGAGUUAAAGUUCUUAGACACAAUUGAUCAUUUGAACCAAUGAGAAGACAGAAUGACGAUAAGAGUACAAUAAUCUUUCUUUGUGGAGUUGUUCAGAUCAGUCAUUUUGAUCUGAUUAUGUUAAGUGAAAAUCGUUUGAUAAUUAGGGGUACUUUUUACAUUAUCUAGAUACGUUUCUUUUCCCCUAGGUAGUCAGCUGUGGUUGUAUUCAGUGGAAUAGAUUUAACACAACAAGGCUGUGGAAUGAAUAUAAUAGUAUUAUUAUAUUUUGUUGUUGAAUAAGUUUAAUAAGGGUAGACUUUUGUCAUCAGGACAGGAAUAUAUGACAUCUGUAGGUGAUCCAGGAUCAUUGAGGGUAUCGAGAUAAAUUUAAGUAGCUAUGGAAUAAGAUAGUGAGACAUUUAGUACUCCCCUGCACUGCUGAGACCUUGAUGGGUUGGAAGUAGCAGGAGGAGAGCAUAAGCAAGGAAGAGAAGAUAAAAGGGACACAGAAGAAUUAGAUAACAGUUAGUGAGUGGAGAUCAGCAUAGUUAAAUUAUAAACAGGUGAGGACAGAAAUAAUACUGGGUCAGACAGAAAAUACAUAAUAAGAAUAAAAGAUAGGAAGAGAAUGUAGUUUGGUUUGCUUAGCUUUAGGAUAUUAAUUCAUGCAGAGACUAUCGGCUCCAUAGGCAUGUAUUUUAGUUUUGAUUUUAAGUUAUGUUUGGUAAAAUUCGCUAGGAAAAGAUAUGAUAAUUUUGUUGAAAGUAGUUGUUAAAUCUUAAAGAAGAUAAGACACUUGACAGAGAAUUGUUACAGGGUAGCUAAGGAUGAAUGUCCAAGGGAGAAUUGGACAUGUGGAAAAUGAAAGGGGGCAAUCCUACAAGAGAAGGGCUGACAUAAGGAUCAUUUACUAACCUUACCAAAGACACUGUUUAGAUAUGCAGCAAAAUUGAUACAUGGCUUGAGCCAUGUAUAAAUAGGGGGAGUAUGGUAGAGAGUAUGGUAGAGCAGGUGAUAGAACAGAUUAGGAUAAUUACUUAAACAAAAACAUUUUUUGUAGAUUGGAAAUGGACUUAUUGAACUAUUCCGAAUUGAGGGGAAGAAGGGGUGUUUAACAAUAACAGAUAAGUAUAGCAAAUGGUUAGAAGCGUUCCCAACUUACUUGGUGGACAUGAUUAUGGUAGCUAGAAUAUUAGGUCAAGAUAUUAUCCCUAGAGUUGGUUUACUGGGAUCUAUCUCUUUAAAGAAUGAAUGACAGUUUAGCUAAUCAGCUAGAGCCUAUAGAAUGCCAGAGUUAGAGAUACCAGAAAAGGUAGACAUAGAAGUUGAAGAAAUACUAGCAGAGGACAUGAAAAGACUGUUUGUUAACCAAACCCGUAUGUCCGAGAUUUUGUGUCCAACAGGUGAAUUACAGGAGAAGGUGAUUCACUCAAUCCAACCAGGAGACUGGGUGUGGAUCCAGUCCCUGAGGAGAAAAGAACUGGAAGCAGCCACAGUGGGAGGGGCCAUACCAAGUGCUCCUGGUAACAGCCUUUGCGGUGAGAAUAGCUGAAAGAGCUACCUGGGUUCAUAUCACACAUUGCGGGAGGGUAAGACACACUGACACUGUCGAACAAUCACAGAGUUGGAGAAGAACCGAAUACCAAUAAGGUUCGGGGGUUACCUCUCUAACGAAGAUUCCCUAACCCGCCCGAUCCUCACUGUGUGCGUUCAUAGAAGUGAAAGUGUGGGUUGGCCUCUAGCCAGUGAUAUGUUCUCCGGGAGGGGGUGCGGCUUUACAGAGGUACUGGUCGGUCUGAGCUGUCUGAUUGUGGGAGCCAUAUUCCUAAUACACCAUGAACCACUCGAGAAGUCAGAAAGUGGUAACUUGACCCAUAGUGUAGAAGAUGAGGAGUUUUUAUGCCCUAGGUACAAAAGGUCAUUCGAGCUGGAUAAAAAGGAAGUGAGAGUAGAGUUAGGGAAGGAUGUCUCAAUAGAGUUCUAUGCAGACCAAAUGGGGUCCCUAACCUCCUGGCAGUCUAGGACUCUGACUUCAUGGGGAAGAUAUCUGUGUAGAUCCCUGUGUAACUCAUGGAAUCAGGUCAUAGCUCACACAGGGAGAGAAGGCUAUGUCAAUCCACACACCCAAUAUAGAAACAGAUGGAGUAUAGUGAAAGCCAGGGUUUUUGACUGCAAUCCAGAGCAAGGGAAGUAUUGCUUAAAGGUAUGAAUUACCAUUAAAAGCGUUAAAAAAGGAGGAUUUAGGGUUAUGGUAUGUUGACCUUGACCAGACCAGUGUCGACACUACGGUACCAUUCCGAGUAGUAGAGGUUAGGACAGGAUACCAGUUGUACCCCUGAUAAAACGGACAUUACUCGUGUAGUCAUCCAGAGCCAAGGACUGGUGAGGAUAGUUCAGACGAAAGAUCUUAAGGAAGUGAUUGAGGUGGAGACUUGGUUUGGGGAUUCCAACCUAUGGCUGGAAUGGAUUCAGUAUACAGCUAGAUCAGUAGCUAAAGACAGUUACACUGAUCUGCAUUAUCUGUAUCCUAUGUGCCCAUUAGAUCCAGACUUCCCCAUUUCACAGUCGCAGGAGGAGACUAUUAUUGUAUGGCUUGACACAAUAUACACGGACGGGAUGUAGGGGAAGUGAGAACACGCAAUAGAACAGAGAGAGAAGGAGUGUUCCGUCUGGGUCCUUAGACGAUAGAGCUUACAUUGAUAGCAUUGGGGUUCCAAGGGGGUUGUCUAAUGAGUUUAAAACUAGGAAUUAGAUAUUGGCUGGAUUGGAAUCAGCAUCUUCUGGUGGUCAACCCUCAAUAAAAAUGUAGAUUGGAUAAAUUAUAUUUAUUAUAACCAACAGCAGAUCAUCAACUAUACUAGAGAUGUGAUAAAAGGAUUAGCAGAACAGACAGAGGCAACUAGUUUGAUGGCUUGGCAGAAUAGAAUUGCAUUGGAUGUGUUACUGGUGGAGAAGGGUGGUGUGUGUGUGAUAUUCGGAUCAAUGUGCUGUACUUUCAUCCCAAAUAACACAGCUACAGAUGGAUCAGUGGCCAAGGCCCUGGCAGGUUUAACCACAUUGGCUAACGAGUUAGUAGAGAACUCUGGGGUGGAUACCUCACUGACUGGGUGAUGCGAUAGUAUGUUUGGAAAAAUGGAAAAAUGUUAUAAUCACUGUGUUAUGGGCUGCUUUCACCGGUAUGAGUGUGUUUGUGUUGUGUGGUUGUUGUCUGGUCCCGUGUGCGAGAGGUCUCAUUUCCAGGGUUCUGGAGAGAUUGAUAACGGAGCAGAUGGGCAACCGGAAUGAUGCCCUUGAUGGAAGUGACCCCAGUGGAUACUGAAUCAACCUCUGGGCAAAGGAGGGGUCUGUCUGAGGACGAUCCUUGGUUUGCUGUUGAGGAAGUGGUAGAAUAAAGCUUAUCCAAAAUGUUCUUAUAUGUGUUGAAUGUAGUGACAGGUGGAUGUGAAGGUUUUAAGUUCUGGGACAAAGAGUCUGUCCCACACAUGUUAGGUGUAGCCCCUGCCGCAAGAAGGUCUUCUUUUUAUACGUUUUGAAUAAUAUGUUCUGAAUAUAUCCUGUGUACUAUUUGUCUUUCCUGAUGUGAGGGUUUGAAGUUCCUGGGUGACUGGUAGUCAACCUAGUACAAGUUAGGUGUAGCCGGAAGGACGUGAGGGUUUUUAACUACUCAUCUAAUCAUUAAAUCGAAAAUUUACAAUUGUGUUGAGUGACACCCUAGGGGGUGUCAAAAGGGGGAAUCUCAAAAUUUCCCUGAAAUUUUAAGAACUUAUGUAUUCACACCUAUCAGCUGUGAAAAGGGGGAUUGUUAGGGUUUGACCAACUAUUUGUGUCCAUAUACUAUAUAAUAUAACAAUUUGUUUGCAUAACCUAUAUAAUAUAACACAGAUGCUAUAAUGAUAAGUUUAUUAACUAUAAGAUAAUUGAAUACUGCUAUAUGUUAGAGGAAGUGGCUCAUGUGAUGGUGGGUCAUGUGGACAGAAUGCUGAUGCUUUAAAACAGGGUUUUGCAAGAGCUUUUCUGUAGAAUAAUAGCAAUAACAGGAUAUGGGUGAAAGGUAUAUGCAGGGGGGUGUAAGGGUUUUAGAGAACUGUGCAUUUUGCAGUCACAAGAUGAGACAUCCGCCAGAGACAACAGCUACGCCAGGAAACAGGAGUGCGUCUAGAGGUUGGGACCAACCUGCACGCCAACGAUAGGCUGGAAUAAGUCUAAACCAUAUUCUAGCCUCUACUAUGACAGGCCCUCAUGGAGAGGGAACUAAGUCUGUCCAGUAUUUAAGGAAGAACUUGUGAUGUCAUACCAGUGUUCUCUGUCUGCCCUGCGGGGUUUACAGGGAGCCCGUAUAUACGAGCCACAUAUUUACCAUUCAAGUGUUUGCAUUAAUUAAAGUACACAGAAAUCAGAAGUUACUAUGUGCUGACUAUUUUGUUAUGAUACCAGAUUCGAAUUGACGCGACUUAACAUGG